UGCCAGCAGCCGCGGUAAUACAGGAGGAGCAAGUGUUAUUCAGAAUUACUGGGCGUAAAACGUACGUAGGCGGAUUAAUAAGUUAGAGGUGAAAUCCCGGGGCUCAACCCCGGAACUGCCUUUAAAACUACUAGUCUAGAGUUCGAGAGAGGUGAGUGGAAUUCCGAGUGUAGAGGUGAAAUUCGUAGAUAUUCGGAGGAACACCAGUGGCGAAGGCGGCUCACUGGCUCGAUACUGACGCUGAGGUGCGAAAGUGUGGGGAGCAAACAGGAUUAGAUA
RNAcentral lists this ribosomal RNA (279 nucleotides) under uncultured bacterium. RNAcentral describes it as "partial 16S ribosomal RNA". It matches the Rfam family "Bacterial small subunit ribosomal RNA", at positions 506 to 784 of the family's 1533-position model. The record is from RNAcentral.